Toxotes jaculatrix (banded archerfish) is the source of this 2443-nucleotide long non-coding RNA. RefSeq lists it as uncharacterized. The transcript is spliced from 3 exons. The record is from RefSeq and is a predicted model, not a curated record. NCBI's taxonomy places the organism in Eukaryota, Metazoa, Chordata, Actinopteri, Toxotidae.
CUCCAGCUCCUCGAAGUUCUCUUUGGUCAAGUUAUAUUUGCGCAUGAGUUCGUACUUUCUGGCGUCGAGCUUCCUCUUGUGACUCUUCUCCUGUUUCGACUCCAGGGUCUCGAAGACGGCCGCUCCGACCACCAGCAGAGUGAUCUUGGCGCUGUACUCAGCCAGGUCUGCAGCCUGAGGCAGGAGGCACAAACAAUGUCGUCAACAACAAACAAAGGCUUGCCUGGCCAGCUCCUCCUUGGCUAUUAUGGCCUCCAUCCUCUCAGCCUCCAGCCGGGCUGCCUCCUGCUCCACCCUCCUCCUCUCCUCCUCCAGCCUCAUGGCCCGGUCCAGCUGCUCCUGAAGCUCUGCGGGACAAAGUCAGUGAAACACGAGACAAGAUCUGUCAAGUAUUGUAAGGUGUUAUCAUACAGGGAGAUGUAUGCAUUUCUCUGCUUUUCUGGGACAAUUUCACACCUGUGAAAUAACACAUUUGCUUUACUUAAGGUAGUCGUUCCUGACUUUCCACCUAAAAUGAACCAGUGUCUAUUUGUGAGCUCUUAUGUCUGCUCUUCAGGUAAAAAGCAUUCGAUUUUAUCUGCCCAGAAAUUGUAUACAGUGAUCCUCGGCAACAAAAAAAAAAAUACAUAAAUACAUUUUAAUGGCCAUUAAAAUGGAGAUUUGAGGAACUUUCAGAGGCUUGAACCUAGUGUUUAUUUCUUACCACGACAAGUAUUGCAAUGAUGAGCUCAGGCUCCUUUUUCCACUUAGUGUUUUCACCUGCUUCAUAUUGCAAGUCUGGUUGAGUGGAUGUUGUUUUUAUCUGAAGUAUAAAAAAAACAUCCACUCAACCAAUUUAACUUUUUCUGUGUAUGUAUGUAAAUAAACAGCAGAGGGCAGUAAAGCCAUGCAGCUCUUGUAGGACUCGAUUAUGUUGUCUGAGGUCUGUAAAGAGGAGUGUAAGACGCCCUGUCUCACCUCUCUCUGCUCUCUUCGUCGUCUCUUCAAACUGGUAGAGCUUCAUCAUCAGGUCCUGCUUUUCUCUCUCCAUCUGCUCCUUCUCUUUCUCAAUGGCCUCCCUCUUCUUCUUCUCACUCUCCAGCUGAUCCCUGUAGAACGCAAAUUAAAGACCGAUCAGACAUCUUAAUCACUCCCCAAUCAGUCAAAAUCCCAGUUCUCAGUCUGUGAGAGCAGAGUGGUGUCCCCAUUUAACUUAAUAACCCUUCACCCACCUCUCCAUCUUCUUCUGCAGCCGCUCCUCUUUGGCCUGAGCCUUCAUCUGCUGAACCUCGAUGCUGUCGGCCUUGCGGCGGCGCAUGUACAGCUCAUGGUUGCCCAUGCACAGUUGAAGUAUGCGCUUGUUGACUCGUAGCCGGGGAGCAUAGAAUAUAAAAUCCUUCAAAAGAGAAAAAAAAAAGAGUCUGAAAUGAGAGGAUUUACUUCCAGCAGUGACUAAAGUUUCAUUAAUAUUGAUUGAUAACUGAAACCAAAAUUUCCUCCAAAUUUAUAAUACGUGGAAAGCCUUAAGUAGAUUUGUUUCAUUCCAUUUUAACUAAAAUAUUUGUCGCCUAUCUGCAUUUUUACUGACAUCUGUGCAACUUGAAUAACAUUAACCUGCACAUAAAUGCUGCUAGACACCUAACUACACACUUACACACACAGGAAAUGCUGUCAUUGCUGAGGAUUGUUAGACUCUGAAAUACUUACAGGGGAUUUCUUGUCUAUGGGCUUGAUGACGAAUUUCUUAUCAUUGAAAGAAAUGUUUCUAAUUUCACUCCAGGGGAAUCCAAUCUUUGGAGUCAGCCUGGAGGAUGGAAAGAAAGAGGUGAUGCAGCAUGUUUAACAGCACGUUUAAAAGAUUUCAGGUUUUGUUUUUAAAGAAUAUUUACAGGCAAAAAACAGUUUGCUCGCCACUUUGGGAAAUAAGGGAAAUAAGUCGAUGGCCAUGGGGUCAAAUGUUCUAUUUAAAACCUGACCAGCUGAAAGGGAAGGCAGCAAGGGUCAAUGACUGAGGUGUGACUGCUCGUGUGUCGCCCUCCUGUCUACAACUGUUUGUCAUCAAGUCAAUGCCCACUAGAGAUGCCAUGUUUGGAGAGAUGUUGAUAGUGAAGGAUGCAUGUUUAUUGUCCUACCUGUCCUCCUUCUCGUAGAUGUUGAGUCCCAGAGCGUCGACUCCCAACCACAGGUCUGUGCCUUUCUUAUUCUUGAUCUCAAAGUAGUUGACACCGUACAUCUCCAGGUCCUGUGCGAUCUUCAGAUACUCAAUCAUGGCAUCUUCCCUGUUCAGGUUAGAAAAAAACAUGGAAAAAUAUUUCCAGUUAGGUGAAUAAAUUUGGAGUCUGUAAAAUGAUACUGAACCCCGGCACUGUGCAAAACUGUGGAGGUAACAGCAGCCUCUGUGACAGUGGCAGUUACAGGAUAAUGGCACACUGACUUGUGUUUACUUUUUGUUUUAUGUUUGAUA